UACAGGGGGGGGCAAGCGUUGUUCGGAAUUACUGGGUGUAAAGGGUCUGUAGGUGGCCAACUAAGUCAGACGUGAAAUCCCUCAGCUUAACUGGGGAACUGCGUCUGAUACUGGAUGGCUUGAGUGUGGGAGAGGAAUGCGGAAUUCCAGGUGUAGCGGUGAAAUGCGUAGAUAUCUGGAGGAACACCGGUGGCGAAGGCGGCAUUCUGGACCAUAACUGACACUGAGAGACGAAAGCCAGGGGAGCAAACGGG
Molecule: ribosomal RNA, 254 nt
Filed under: uncultured bacterium
Lineage: Bacteria
Description: partial 16S ribosomal RNA
Rfam family: Bacterial small subunit ribosomal RNA
Source: RNAcentral